AUGCUCCUUGGGCUCCAGCGGCGCCGGCGGCACUUGCUGCGACGCCUCGGGCUCCAAGCCGGCGGCGGCGGCGGGAGGAGGAGGAGGAGGCGGCGGCGGCGGCGGCAGCAGGUGAGCGGGCGCCUGCACCCCGCCGCCUUGGCCCAGGUGAGGCUCCAGGGCGAGCUCGGGCUCCAGGAAAUCCUGGAUCUCCUGCGCUUGCGGCAAGGCGCCUUGCGGCAGCACCUCCAUGGCCUCGGGCUGCAGCUGCGCCCGCAGCCGGGGCGAAGCCUGCGGCUCCAGCGCCUGCGAGCGCACGUGCGCUUGGUGCAGGUGAGCUUCGAGCGCUUGCAGCUGCAGCUGCGGCGACGGGGCGCCCGGCGGCGGCGGCGCCAUGCGCUGCUGCUGCUCCAAGAGGUGCACGUCCAGCGGCGCCCGGCCCUUGGCCCGCGGGUGCAGCUGGCUCUGCGUGUGCGUCAACACCGAYUGCAACAGCUGACCCUGCGCCGGGGCGCCCGGAGCCGGCGCCAAAGCCAACGGAGCCAAAUCGGGCGCCGAAUCCAACAGCAAGCCGUGGGGCUCCAGGGCGGGCGCUUCGGCCACCAGGCGCCCGUGCUCGGGCGUCUUCUGCAGGUAGGAGUGAGCUUGGGGCAGCUCCUUGCCGCCRCCGCCGCCGCCGUCCAGGUGGSCGCCUUGCAGGUGCUCCACCGACUUCUUCAUGUCCUGCCCGUAGGAGUCGAGGGCGCCCGCUUGGUGGCCGUAAUGCACCACCGAGGUGGCCARAGCCUCCGGGGUGGAGCGGGCGUGCGGAUAGUCCUUGGGCCGCUCGUUCUUCUUCUUCUCCUUGAGGCCCUGCAGCGAGAGCUCCAGCGCUUGGCUCUCCAGGUUGGAGUUGGGCCGGAUGACGCUCUGCAGGUGGUAACGUUCCUCGGGUUUGGCCAGAGCGCCGUAAGCCGCCAGGGCUUUGGCGCCGCGCUCCUCGCACUGCGCCAGCCCCUCGGCCGGUCCCCGCGGCGGGCUGGGAGCCUGCAGCAGGUGCUGGAUGAGGAAAUCCUCGUCCUCGGUGCGCUCGGCGCCCAGCAGGUCGGCUUCGCUCUUCGCCUUGCCGUACGCCGCCCCUCGUUCCAAAGCCGCCGGCGCCGCGCCGUAACCCGGCCCCGGCCCYGGCGCCAUGAAAGAAGGCGAAAGCACCGAGCCGAGGUAUUUUUGCGACUGGCCCGGCGAGGCCACGCUCUGCGGGCGGUUGGCCGGAGGCGACUGCAAGGGGCGGAUGAUCUGCGAAGGGCUGGAGUCGUUGAGGCUCUGGCCGUGGGCGUAAGCGAGGCCUUGGCCGUGCGCCGGCAUCGCCGGCGAGUGCCCGGUGCUGUAGCUGAGCGAGGGGCUGGCGGUGGGCAAACCCUGCGAGUGCGGCGGCCCGUAACCCGCCGCUUGGCUCACCUCGGGUUGGACGCCGUACGGAAGCGCUUGGAGCUGUUCCGGCGAGUAAGUUUGACUCUGGCUGACGCACGGUUGUAA
Molecule: long non-coding RNA, 1494 nt
Filed under: Apteryx rowi (Okarito brown kiwi)
Lineage: Eukaryota; Metazoa; Chordata; Aves; Apterygiformes; Apterygidae
Description: lncRNA (ENSARWG00000009987.1)
Source: RNAcentral